CUGGAGUCCGGAUCCGGCCCCGCUCGGCGCCGUCCCGCGCAGCCCCCAUUUCCACGCCCUGGAAGUGACCCCUGCCGGGAGAAAGUGGGAGCAUUUGGGAGCAUGGUAGCGGCAGGCUUGUGGCGGACACGCGGACCGUGCCUGUGCGAAACCUUCAGAACCCGCAUUCGCCCCAGCCGCUCCUGGACCCAGGUCCACCCGGUAGGCGUGGAGAGCUGCGCUGACCCGAGGGUCCCUGCAGGGGCGAGGGAAGGUGACCUGGCCCUGUGACCGAGCAGAAGCGGCGGCCAGGACAGCCCUCCCUGGAGAGUGCAGCCACGCCUCACUGUUCUCAGUGCCGGAUCCCUCCCUGGCCACCUUCUGGUCCAGACCUGACUGUCACCUGCUCCACAUUUUCCUGGCUCCCCUGCUCGAUCCCGGCCUCCCAGGGAGCCGAUCUGGUGGGAUCAGACUUGGGAUUUUCAAAGGGAAAAAAGCUGAAUUUUCUUCUUUAGAGUUUUUGUUCUUAUAUCUGACUCCUGCUUUGCAAAAGCAUCGUGUUCAUUUUGGAAGCAGCUGUGAUGCUUGUUUCUCCAGGAGACAAAUUAAUAAAUUAAGAAGUCACCGCCACUGCCAGGCACCAGUCCCCCUCAGGAUCACUGGAUGUGAGGGGGGCCCGGUCCCCGAGCUCCCGCAUCGUGUUUCAGUGUCAUUGGAAAGGACACAGACUUCAGGGUGGUUCACGGCUGCUUCCAAGGUGUGGCAGUGUGGACAGCACCUGUCCCACUCCCCUCGAGGUGUCUGUGUGCGCACAGGGACAUUUAAACGCCCACAGAGAUACGUACUGAGCGCCUAGCUGUGGCCGGGAGGGGCAGGGCCUGGUAAACCCAGUGGGCAGGCAGGUGGCACAGGCAGUGUCUGAGGAGGGGUCUCUUGAGCAGAGACUCAUGCUAUGAGGGCCUUGCUGGCCAUCAGGGUGAGCUUGACCCAGAAGCUGCCGGCAAGGCCAGAGGUCCUGGCUGGAACUGGGCCGUGUCUGUAGGGUGGGGAGUGCCCAGGCACUGGCGAGCACUGAAAAUAGAGCCAGGCCCUGGAGCUGCUUCAGGGACCCAGCAGCAGGGACAGGAGGUCCUGCCUGGGGCAGCCCGGCAGCGGGGGCCCUGGUGGGGAGGUGGGAGUGUCUGGGACCGCCCUCUGCCCAGAAGCCAUUGGCUGCCUGGGUUGGGGGGGCGGAGCCUGCCCUGGCCUUCUUGCCCCUCUGCUGCUGCAGCUCAGGGGACUGUCCCCAGCCGUGGGGUGGCCAUGGUCCUGAGUGCAGCUCGGAGAGGCCCCGAACACCUAGCCCUGCAGUUCAGAGCCCCACUGAGCCUCUGUGGCGGGAUGAAGGGGGUGGAGAAGGCUGAAGGAGGACAGUGUCCCGUCCAUGGCUGAAGGAAGCUUUCCACUGGACAGUUGUCUCCCAGCCCGAGACAGACAUGUGUGACUGGCCAGCCGUGUCCAGAGAAUGCAACAGCUCAGUCUGGAAGGAAGCAGCCCGGCUAUGGGCCCACAGCCCCGACGCGGAUCCAGCUCUGUGCACUCAUGGGCGUGGAAUAGCGAAGUUGCGGUGGGCGGUGGGCGUCAGUCACUUGCACACACGUGUGUUGGGUGGGGACAGGCGCUCAGGGAGGUGUGGCUGCCUCUGAAGACAGUUGCUGGCUCAUCGUGGGCUUCGGGGUCAGCAGCUGCUUUCUCAGCGAGCCAGGGGAGUUGGUUGUGGGCGUCAGUGCUCAUAGCAGGGUGGGAGUUAGGUCCUUCGCAGUGUUGGAUCCCGG
This is a long non-coding RNA of Heterocephalus glaber (naked mole-rat), 1793 nucleotides long. The record is from Ensembl. NCBI's taxonomy places the organism in Eukaryota, Metazoa, Chordata, Mammalia, Rodentia, Bathyergidae.